Molecule: long non-coding RNA, 2236 nt
Organism: Mytilus californianus (California mussel)
Lineage: Eukaryota; Metazoa; Mollusca; Bivalvia; Mytilida; Mytilidae
Exons: 2
Source: RefSeq, a predicted model, not a curated record
CAAAACCGGAAGUGAAAUAAUAAAAUCAGCUGCCACCGGCGAAGUGUUGACCCUUCCUGUCCUAGUACAAGGACACUGGACUGACAUUUAAAUAUUCAGCUAGACAAAGAGCGAUUCUAAGCAGAAAUGACGAAUACAGAUGUGGUACCCCAGAAACCACUUCCUGCUGUAGCUAGAUUCUUUUUCUAUGGUCUUCAUGGACUUUUUGAUGAGAUUGUCUUCACAGCUUUGUUUGACCUAUUUUUAGAACCUCAUGGCAAUGCACAACUAAAAGGCUACACAACCAUUUACUCCUUCUUCAUUUAUGGUAGUUGCAGCUUAGUUGUAGAACGACUAUAUGUUUUCUUAUACUUGAAGCAUGGCAUUCCAUGGUAUACGAGAACAGCCAUCUAUCUCCUAGUAUUAUAUACAUGGGAGUUAUCAUUCGGCCUGGUUCUACGACAGUUUGAUGCAUGUUCAUGGGAUUACAGUCACUAUGAUUACAACUUUAUGGGUCUGAUUACCCUUGAAUAUGCACCAGGAUGGAUUGUUCUAUGUCUAUGGCAGGAUGUUAUAGCUGACUUUCUACUUAGUCUUUCAAUAAAUGUAAAAAGUGAUGAAAAGGAUGACAAAAUAAAGGCAGCAUGAUAAAUUCUUAUUGUGAUUUUUGUUAACAUUUUACAGAUAUAGGACUUAUUUAAUAAUGUAGUGUUAGCUUUCAUUUCAAAGUAAAAUGACAAUAAUUCAAAUUUCUAGAAUAGCCUUUAGAAAGUUUAACGUACCAUUUUAGAUUAACAGAGUGAAAGUAUAAACAAAAAAGGAAUUUAAUGAAAGAAUUUGUAGAAAGUUUUGAAAUACUCUACAAAAAGGAUGACACUUUAAAAAGGAAAAAAAAUCAUAAAAAUAUAUAUGUUAGUCUUUUUUUGUGUUGUUGAUUAAUUUGCUGUUUUAUUUGUUGUCAAUUUAAUGACCAAGCAAUUUACUUUGCAGAGAAGAUAUAUUUAUUUAUUUUUUUAGAGUGUUAGUAUUCAGGUACAUGUCAUACAUCUUUAGUAAUUAUUUAGUUCUUGAUGGUGCAGUGAAACAAUAAGAUUUUUUUUGCAUUUUGUUUAAUAUAUUCUGUUAUUUUAACGUUAUUCUGUAUUUAUGGUAACAGCCCAUACAGCAUUAUCAGAAUGUAAAGAUGAUAGUUUGAUACAUACUUUUUACUCCAUUAAUUUGACAAUCAUACUGUAAUAUGAUUGAUCGAUUGAUUGGUGUUUAACUUCACUUUCAACACUAAUGUGAUAUUUUGUGGUAGUCAGUUUUUAUUGGUGGAUGAAGCAGGAGUGCCAGGAGAGAACCACCAUCCUCUGGUAGGAAAACAGACAAUUUAGAUUGGAGUUGAGCUCACCUGCGGGAAUUGAACUCACAACCUCAGUGUUGAGAGGCUAGUGAUACAGUAGUUCCACUACUUAGACCAUUCGGCCACUGAGGACCCACAUAGUAUAAUAAUGACAGCCUUUGGAUUGUUGAAAUUCUGUUCAAUAUCAGUAUUAAUACAGAAGAAUAUUUUAUUCCAAUUAAAAUUCUAUUAUUAAUAUUCUAAGAAUAUUUUAUUCCAAUUAGUACACAUGAAUUUGAUCUGAGAUGUAUGCGGUAGGCCUACAAACUACUUAAUACAUUUAAGGAAAAUUACAAAGAUUGUCAAAAUGGGUUUAAUUUUGAGAUUUAGGUACAGGUAAAACCUGUCACCAAAAAAGAUAUUUAGCAUGUUUAGUCAGAAGAUAGAUUUUGUAUGUAAGGAUACUAAUUUCAGUCAAAUGUUUGGUGAGGUUGUUCCUUAGGGGAUCCAGUAAAAUCCUCCUGACUCUGUGUCCAGUCUUAUUCAUAUCUAUAACAACAUAAAAAAGACAUAUAAAACUAGACCUGCCUUUUUUUAUAAAUACAAUUGUACUAGGAUGAUAUGUGUGUAUUGUUGAUAACUGUAGUCAAGGGAACAAUGUAUGUAUAAAUUUGUUUGUAAAUCUGCAUUAUUGUUUGAUUAUAUAUAUUUCUUUGUUAAAGCCUAUGAAACUUUCAUACUUUUUUUUUCAAAUGUAUUGUUUACUUUUUUAGAUAGUUUUAUGAUAAUAUUGCAAUCACAUUACCGGUAUAUGCAAUCAGAUGUUAUUCAAUUGUCUUAAUGUUGUGAUAAAUACUGCUAACAUGUUUGUUUAUGAUGACUUGAAUUUGUAUUGUUUUUUUAUGUAGACAAGGAAUAAAUUUUUGUGAAAUA